This is a non-coding RNA of Aegilops tauschii subsp. strangulata, 787 nucleotides long. Lineage: Eukaryota; Viridiplantae; Streptophyta; Magnoliopsida; Poales; Poaceae. The record is from RefSeq and is a predicted model, not a curated record.
UCACCCGCGAGUCGCGAGAGGGUGGAUCCUAUUUGACGCUCGUUAGCGUCAGAACAUCAUGGCUUCGCUGAAGCCACCGUCUAGACGGGCCGGCCCUUUGCAACUCUUGUACUGUUUCGAGUCCUUGUCGCCAUUCUUAGCUUCCUUCCUUUGCUCUCUUUCUCGUCUCGCUUCCCCAGCCCGCGUUUCUCUUCUCUCUUCGCUUGCUUCUUCUCUUUAUCUUCGUGACUCCCCGGCCGGCGUUUUCUCUUCGUGGAAUUGGUUGCUGCCAUGGCUGCGCAAGGCCAAAAUGUUCCUGUACGGUCCACUGCGAAUUUCCAGUCACGGUUUUCUACUCUUCGUUGGGCCAAAGUUGUUAGUAAGAUGUCUCCUUUGCAAAGAAGCUUUAUGGCAGACUAAUUCAACCAUCUUCUGAAUGUGCGCGAACAUGUGGUUGUGCCCAUGGAUUUGCUGCAAUGGUUAGCAAAGCAUAUGCGGUAUGGUUAAGUAGGCAUUUUCUAGCACAACAACAAAGUCAUUCAUAUCGCCCGAGAUAUGGUUGACAUAUGCGCUAUGGAAUAACAAUCUGGUCCGGUUGGCUACCUGAGUCUAGAAUUAGAGUAGAUCGAGUGAAAUGUAAAAGCAAAACCUCUCAAUCUGAACACUAGUUGGUGCUUGGAUGUGUUUCGUUUCUCACAAAUUUGGCAGUUCUGAUGUGAUGAUGUUCUUCCAUAGUUAGUGAAGUUUGGUCCCCAAAUAGUAUGUGCAAGGUGAUUCAUAGUGUUAUUUCGUUAAGCAAUUUUCCUUA